UGGUGGCGACCGGCGCACGGGUGAGUAACGCGUAUGCAACCUACCCUUUAGAGGGGAAUAACCCGGCGAAAGUCGGACUAAUACCGCAUAAAACAGGGACACCGCAUGGUGAUAUUUGUUAAAGAAAUUCGCUGAUAGAUGGGCAUGCGUUCCAUUAGGUAGUUGGUGAGGUAACGGCUCACCAAGCCGACGAUGGAUAGGGGAACUGAGAGGUUGGUCCCCCACACUGGUACUGAGACACGGACCAGACUCCUACGGGAGGCAGCAGUGAGGAAUAUUGGUCAAUGGGCGAGAGCCUGAACCAGCCAAGUCGCGUGAAGGAAGAAGGAUCUAUGGUUCGUAAACUUCUUUUGCAGGGGAAUAAAGUGCAGGACGUGUCCUGUUUUGUAUGUACCCUGAGAAUAAGGAUCGGCUAACUCCGUGCCAGCAGCCGCGGUAAUACGGAGGAUCCGAGCGUUAUCCGGAUUUAUUGGGUUUAAAGGGUGCGUAGGUGGUUUGAUAAGUCAGCGGUGAAAGUUUGCAGCUUAACUGUAAAAAUGCCGUUGAAACUGUCGGACUUGAGUGUAAAUGAGGUAGGCGGAAUGCGUGGUGUAGCGGUGAAAUGCUUAGAUAUCACGAAGAACUCCGAUUG
This 631-nucleotide ribosomal RNA is filed under the name uncultured Bacteroidales bacterium. Its description in RNAcentral is "bacterial SSU rRNA". It matches the Rfam family "Bacterial small subunit ribosomal RNA", at positions 86 to 715 of the family's 1533-position model. The record is from RNAcentral. Lineage: Bacteria; Pseudomonadati; Bacteroidota; Bacteroidia; Bacteroidales.